This 339-nucleotide ribosomal RNA is filed under the name Triticum aestivum (bread wheat). RNAcentral describes it as "partial small subunit ribosomal RNA". Lineage: Eukaryota; Viridiplantae; Streptophyta; Magnoliopsida; Poales; Poaceae. The record is from RNAcentral.
AUGACUACAAGAUAUUGGAACAUUAAUUUGAAACAGAUGAUAGAAGCAGGAGUUCAUUUUGGUCAUGGUAUUAAGAAAUGGAAUCCUUAAAUGGCCCCUUACAUUUCGGCAAAGCAGGGUACUUAUAUUAUAAAUCUCGCUAAAACGGCUCGUUUUUUAUCAAAAGCUUGUGAUUCCCUCCUGCUCCCCAAGCGCGGGCGCCGGGGCGUGGCUGAGCGCUGUGGUUAUGAACGACAGCCUUACCAUGCUCUGCCAACGCCCAUAACCAGAGCGUCGUGUCCAGGUUGCGCUGCAGCUUGUGCGCGUUCUGGUGGCCGUCGAGCGCUUGAGGGCUCGUGA